RNAcentral lists this ribosomal RNA (2496 nucleotides) under Triticum aestivum (bread wheat). RNAcentral describes it as "partial small subunit ribosomal RNA". The record is from RNAcentral. Lineage: Eukaryota; Viridiplantae; Streptophyta; Magnoliopsida; Poales; Poaceae.
AUGCCCAAGCUAGCUGACCUAAUAACCAAGGAGUACAACCUUCAGAGGGGUGUCAGGGGCGAGAUCAUGUUCCUCAAAGCCGAGAUGGAGAGCAUGCAGACGGCUCUCCUCAAGGUUUCCGAGGCACCGAUCGACCAGCCACCGGACAUCCAAGUCAAGCUUUGGGCCAAGGCUGUGAGGGACCUGUCGUACGACCUCGAAGACAGCAUCGACAAGUUCAUGGUGCGCAUCGAAACCCAUGAACCAGAGAAGUCGCAUAGCUUCAGGAAUUUCAUUGAUAAGAGUCUCAGCCUACUGACCAAGGGCAAGAUUCACCACAAGAUCGGCAUCGAUAUCAAAGAUAUCAAGAGCCGUAUCAAGGAGGUCAGCGAGCGCCGUUAUAGGUACAAGGUUGACAGUGUGGUUACCAAGCCAACCAGACAAACUGUUGAUGCCCUUCGCCUAUCAACCUUGUAUAAAAAGGCAACCAACCUCGUUGGCACAGACAAGAAGAGCCUUGAGGUAAUCAAGAUGCUGACUGAGGGAGAUGAGAUUUCCAAGGAACAGCUUCGGGUGGUCUCUAUUGCUGGACUUGGUGGAUUAGGAAAGACAACCCUGGCUAAUACAGUGUAUGAGAAGCUUAAAGUGCAUUUCGAUUUUACGGCUUUCGUUUCCUUGUCUCUUAAUCCUAACAUGGAGAAAAUUUUCAAGAGCUUGCUCCAUCAACUUCACAAGCAAAAGUACGAGAAUAUCAACGAGGCUGCAUGGGGCGAAGCACAACUCAUCAGUGAGAUAAGAACAUUUCUUGAAAACAAGAAGUACUUGAUUGUUAUUGACGACAUAUGGGAUAAAUCUGUCUGGGAAAACAUCAAAUAUUCGUUGACAGUGAAUGAGCAUGCAAGUAGAGUAAUCACAACAACUCGCAUUCUUAAUAUUGCCGAGCAAGCUGGUGAUGUUUAUCGGCUGGAACCACUUUCUGUUGUUGACUCAAGAAAGUUGUUCCACCAAAGAAUAUAUGAGACCGAGAACAAAUCACCACCUAAUCAAUUGUUUGAAAUAUCUGAGAAAAUUUUAAGAAGAUGUGGUGGAGUGCCGUUAGCUAUCAUUACAAUAGGUAGCUUGCUGUCCAGCAAAACGGAAAGAGAACAUACACAAGAGUAUUGGUCCAAGGUGUACAAAUCAUUGGGUUCAGGGUUAGACAAUGGUCAUGAUGAUGUGAAGAACAUGAGGAGGAUAUUAUCCGUCAGUUACUCUGACCUACCUCCACACCUCAAGACUUGUAUACUGCAUCUUUGUUUGUAUCCAGAGGAUUAUGAGAUUCAAACUGAACGGUUGAUAUGGAAAUGGGUGGGUGAAGGUUUUGUGAAAAAAGAACAUGGGAGGAGCUUAUGUGAAGUAGGAGAGGAUUACUUUGACCAGCUCAUUAAUAAAAGUUUGGUCCAACCUGUAAAAAUCGACAAUGGGAAUAAAGUACACUCUUGUCGCAUACACGACAUGGUGCGUGACCUCAUCACUUCCUUGUCAACUGAGGAGAACUUCGUAACGAUAGUAGGUUGUCAGCAACCAGUCUAUCUACCAAGUAAAAUCCGCCGACUGUCUGUCCAGACCAACAUUGAAGAGGUUGCUAAUCAGCUUCCAACCAUGAGCUUGUCCUAUAUAAGGGCACUUACUGUGUCUAGUCUCGCUUUCAGUUUGUUGCCAGCACUUACGGGUUUUCCAAUCCUACGUGUGCUGGAUUUAACUGACUGCAAGCAAGUGGAUAAUAAUCAUUGGAAGGAUAUAUGCAGUUUGUUUCACUUGAGAUAUUUGAGUUUAAAAGGUACAUCUAUCACUAAGAUCCCGAAAGGUAUUGCGGAUCUGCAAUUUCUUGAAGUGUUGGACAUAAGGUCCACUGAAAUAGAUGAAAAGCUGCCGUCAACCAUUAUUCAGUUAACACGUCUGUUGUUACUCCACAUGCUUGAUAGCAUCACUUGUGCAGUGCCAAGGUGGAUCUGCUCCAUGUGUUGCCUCUUUUCCCUAAGUAUCAGACUUGAACUGGGAGAGGAGGAUCUUCAAGUCUUAGGCAGUAUACUGUCUCUCAGUGAACUGCACAUACAAGUGAAGAAACCUACACAAGGCAGAGAUAAACGGCUGGUCAUUGACGGUCGCUACCUAUUUCAAUGUCUAAUGAGGUUCAGAGUCGAGAGUGAAACCAUGGAGUUAAUGUUUGCACGGGGAGCCAUGCAAAGUCUCCAAACCCUGCGGUUAGAAUUUAAAGAUGUCCCUAACUCAUUGGUUCAGUUUGGUGCUCCUAUGUUCGGUUUAGAGAAUCUCUCUUCACUUGAGCAUAUCAAUGUUGAGUUCAGAAAUGGUGAAGACGGCAAUGAGAUACGAAAUAUGAGAAAUGCAGUGAAGAGAGAAAUCUAUAUGAAUCGAAACAAGCCCAAACUGGAUUUCCCACAAACAACAGGGCGGCGGCAUGAGCUAAGGGCGGCGAGCAGGGGGUCUGAGCGGGAGGUCUCUGGAGCUGAGAGCUAG